This is a non-coding RNA of Oryza glumipatula, 193 nucleotides long. The record is from Rfam. NCBI's taxonomy places the organism in Eukaryota, Viridiplantae, Streptophyta, Magnoliopsida, Poales, Poaceae.
AAUAAGCGUUGCCAUGAGUUUCCGUGUCCAACUUUGACCAUCCAUUUUAUUUAAAUUUUUUUAUAAUUAAUUUUUUUAUUGUUAUUAGAUUAUAAAAUAUAAAUAGUAUUGAUGCUUUUUAGGUUUUUUUUAAAAAAAAUUAAAUAAGACGAACAGUCAAAGUUGAACAUGAAAAUUCAUGGCUGCGCUUAUU